CGCAUCUGUGCAUGCAGCAUAUCAAUAAGCGGAGGAAAAGAAACUAACAAGGAUUCCCUUAGUAACGGCGAGUGAAGCGGGAAGAGCUCAAAUUUGAAAUCUUCAAGGUUUUACCUUGACGAAUUGUAGUUUAAAGAAGUGUUUUCUGUUGAAGUUUUGGUAAAAGUUCUUUGGAAUAGGACAUCAUAGAGGGUGAGAAUCCCGUAUUUGACCAUUAUUUUCAGCUGUGUGAUACACUUUCAAAGAGUCGGAUUGUUUGGGAAUGCAGUCCAAAAUGGGUGGUAAAUUUCAUUCUAAAGCUAAAUAUUGGCGAGAGACCGAUAGCGAACAAGUACCGUGAGGGAAAGAUGAAAAGAACUUUGAAAAGAGAGUUAAACAGUACGUGAAAUUGUCAAAAGGGAAGCGUUUGACACCAGUGUUGUUUUCUCGAAAAUCAAUUAAAAAGAGUUAGAUUUUGUUGUGUAUUGACCUUAACAGCUUGCAUUUCAAUUUUCUUGCUUUUUUUAAUGCACUUUUCGUUUAACAAGUCAACAUCAGUUUCUUUUGUUGUAAAAAGGUCAUUGGAAGGUGGCUUUCUUUUCGGAGAAAGUGUUUAUAGCCUUUGACUCCUGCAAUCGGAGAGACUGAGGUCUGCAGCGUAGAUCCUUCGGGGUUAGAUACAUUUGCGCUAAGUUAUAAGCUUUUUAUAGACAACUUGUUGACUAUGAUUAGUCUUGUAGCUUACUCGCUUAUGCUAUUUUACCUACGCUUAGGAUGUUGACGCGCGUGUGUGCGUG
RNAcentral lists this ribosomal RNA (776 nucleotides) under uncultured Neocallimastigales. RNAcentral's name for it is "partial large subunit ribosomal RNA". It matches the Rfam family "Eukaryotic large subunit ribosomal RNA", at positions 26 to 639 of the family's 3401-position model. Lineage: Eukaryota; Fungi; Neocallimastigomycota; Neocallimastigomycetes; Neocallimastigales. The record is from RNAcentral.